UCCGGAAACGGGCGCUUAAUACCGCAUACGUCCUACGGGAGAAAGUGGGGGAUCUUCGGACCUCACGCUAUCAGAUGAGCCUAGGUCGGAUUAGCUUAGUUGGUGAGGUAAUGGCUCACCAAGGCUACGAUCCGUAACUGGUCUGAGAGGAUGAUCAGUCACACUGGAACUGAGACACGGUCCAGACUCCUACGGGAGGCAGCAGUGGGGAAUAUUGGACAAUGGGCGAAAGCCUGAUCCAGCCAUGCCGCGUGUGUGAAGAAGGUCUUCGGAUUGUAAAGCACUUUAAGUUGGGAGGAAGGGUACUUACCUAAUACGUGAGUAUUUUGACGUUACCGACAGAAUAAGCACCGGCUAACUCUGUGCCAGCAGCCGCGGUAAUACAGAGGGUGCAAGCGUUAAUCGGAAUUACUGGGCGUAAAGCGCAGCGUAGGUGGUUUGUUAAGUUGGAUGUGAAAGCCCCGGGCUCAACCUGGGAACUGCAUCCAAAACUGGCAAGCUAGAGUAUGGUAGAGGGUGGUGGAAUUUCCUGUGUAGCGGUGAAAUGCGUAGAUAUAGGAAGGAACACCAGGGCGAAGGCGACCACCUGGACUGAUACUG
Molecule: ribosomal RNA, 600 nt
Filed under: Pseudomonas sp. Z14
Lineage: Bacteria; Pseudomonadati; Pseudomonadota; Gammaproteobacteria; Pseudomonadales; Pseudomonadaceae
Description: bacterial SSU rRNA
Rfam family: Bacterial small subunit ribosomal RNA
Source: RNAcentral